GAUAUAGGAUGGAAAAAAAAAAACCAGCAGGUAGUACUUUUGUUAGCUGCUGUGGGUUAGAGGAAGUAUUGACAAUGCUGUUUGGUUUCAGAACCUUGUUCUUAGUAUAGUUGUUGAAGUAGCUAAAUAAAUGAUAGGGAGUUAAAUGGGAUUGAACCCUUUCAGUUGAAUUCAAUAGGUUGAUUCUUCUGGGCCUUUAUUUAUUUGUUUUCAGAGUGUUUCUGUGCCAGCCUAUGCUAGCAGUCUUAAAAUUGUAUGAGGCAAGUCUACUGCGUACCUGUAGUUAACCUGUGUGGCUGCAGCGAUUUGGAGUUGCUGUAUACGCUGAGCUAAGCAUGCAGUGCCUAUUUGUCUUGGGCUUCUGCACUUUUAGUAGCCCGAUGGUUUUUUGCUCAAAUACAGUUAUUUAGCUGCCACUAGAAGAAGCUGUGUUUCAUCUAAACAGGUUAAUAUGACAGGCUGGCAAGCAGGUGGCUAGAGACUUUACUUUGCUGUGGAUAACUUCCAGAUUUUUCUCUUAGCAGAUCAAGUGGCAUGACUGCUAGACACUGCUGUAAAGUGGAGCUCUGUAAGCCAUGCCUGUUGUGCUCUGCAGCAGAGGAACGUCAAGCAAGAGCACCCCACAAACUGGUCUUCAUCAGUGGGCCUUUGCAGGGGAAGUAAAGAGCAGGAGCUUUUAACAGAGAGUUAGGAAAAAUACAUAAGCAGGUGUUUUCCUUUUAAAAAUAAGCAGGACUAGAGAUAUAGGUGAAAAAAAUAUUAUUAGGGCUGGACAGUCUGAUGUAUGCUGAAGGAGGGGAGUAAAAAAGGGGAGAGGGUGCGUGUUUCCUAAUACCACCUUUGUCUAGAAGCAUGCAAUAAGGCUGCUAACAUUUGUGCUUUAAAAAUAAAAUUACCAUCUGAAGAACUGAAUUUAGACAGCAAGCAGAGGCAGAAUGAGAGGUAGGGGCCAGUUCAUGGCUGCAGUGCAUGGGUGUUAGUUAAUGUUGUUCUGGCACUAAGACGUUUUAAAAAAAGAGAGAUGGGUAGGGGAAGGCAGAACAACAAAACACCCUGAAGGCUGUGAGCCCUUGUGGUUCAAGGGAAAACAACAUUCUGGGUAGCAGGGACAUUUAGACUGCAAAUGUGACAAACAAAAGCUUACAUAUUGCUGCAGGUUAUACUGCAGGGCUCUAUGACAUUGAUGUGAGUGCUUGAUUAAGUAAGAGCAGUAGGGGGAAUAGAGAGCUUCUGCUUAAAUUUUAGAUGAAGGACUUGCUUUCUGGAGGUUAAUGGCUUUAGACUGAGGAAGCCUGUGGGGGCUGGCAGGGAGGGAUUGUGCAAUUAGAGGAGCCUUCAGCAGUGUCAUUCAUUCUGCACUUGUUGUUCCAUUUCAGUGCUGGCCAAGUUCCCUGAUGGUCUGUGCUGUCUCACCUCGGGGUGUGUUUGCAGCAUCAGAGUGAUGGACUGGGGGAAGCCUGGGCAGCAGUAAGCUCCUCCAGCCUUGGUGACCACUCUGUGUUUUCAGCUAUCUGUCAACACAAACUUACCCUACACAACAUGGUGCUGCAGAAAAGGUGAUAAUACCACACCAUUGUCACAGCAAGACUCUUCCAAAACUUAGUAAGGUGGAGGAGCACCAGGGUGCUUGACAAAGAGCAGGGUGUCUGCUUGUCCAACGGGUGAGCCCUAUGUUGGAGGAGCAUGAACAUGGCCAGAUUUGGCUUUGUCCCAGUUGUUUUGAUGAGGAAGGAGUACCCUGGAGGGAUGAGUCACUUUGCCCAUUCCUACUCACAUUUCCCCUAAGGUCAGUGCCCCUGUCUGGCUCUGUUCUGGUUUCUCUUUUCCUUUUGUGACCAGGCUUUGUACCUCAGAGGCUGUGGUCAGCUCAGGUCUGCCCUCAGCAGAAGGACUAAGGAACGUGGUUUAGUGAUGGGACUUGGGAGGUCAGGUGGAUGGUCAGACAUGAUAAUCUUGAUGGACUUUAGGAAACUAAAUGAUUCUGUGAUUUCUGAGUGGGCAUCAGUGCUGCUCCCCACAUGCGUUGCUCACAGGUGUGUGUGGACAGAGAGGGAUCUGAUGAAUGUGGUGAUAAAACUCCUCCUUAUGCUGAUCUAUGACUUUCUGUGGCACUUUUCUAUCACCUGUAUGACAAGGAGGAGGACAGGACAGGCCCAAGCAAAAAUCAGAGGCUGGAUGUCCACUUUGUGCUAAAGAAUGAGAUUUAAAGUCAAGGAGAACUGCAGUAAUUGUAUUCAAAGGGCAAAGAAAACAGCAGCAUGUUCACCAUGGAAAUAAGCCACCUGAAAAACCAAAUGGAUCCCUGGUGUAAUUUUAUGAGCUUCCGCAAAAUUAGUGCAGGAUCAACAGCAGGCAUUGAAUUGAAAGUUUUCAGGCUCAAAGGGUAUCUGGGAUUGGCAUCCAUUUGUUCUUCUUUUGGACAAGAUAUACAUGUUCUUGGGAGUGCGGAGUCCAGUUGUCUGCAUAUCUGGGGGGCAGGACCAAUAAUAAGGCAAAGAGCCUGAACUCUUCCUUCCCUCUGAGUGAUGACUGGGAUGCCCAGGGGGGAGGAAAUUGCUGCUGCUUAUAUUUGCAGAAUAAGGGAGAUGAAGAUGUCCUCCUGUGAGGCUGCACGGGGAACAAUGCUGGGAGACAGGUAUGGGAAUGGCAAUGAUGUCUCCGCUCUGCUCUGGGAAACUACAAAACAAAGGAAGCCUGGGAUGACUGAACAAGUACAACAGCUCCCUUACUGAGGAGCACGCUGUAUUCAGCAUAGAUUUAAAGCCCUGGUAGAAGACACGCUUCAGUUCCAUUACUGCUUGCUCAUGAAUGAUCUGCAGACUGAGUAAUUCACCUUUGCAGGAUUCCUGUCACCCACGGGAACCUAAAGGCUGGGUGUAAGUACUGGCAUUGCCAUCACGAUGGCCUUGGAGGCACCCGAGAAGCUGAAGUCUGUUCUACUUGCUGCAGUAAGCCAGAGCUAUUGCAUACAGCUGUAUUUAUGGAGGGUUACUGAUACAGCACUGAAUAUUGAUUCUUGUCUCAGUUUUUCCUUUUUCAAAGUGCCUCCCGAAACAGCAGAAUUCUGAUUGUCAAAACACAGUGAUAGUUAGCAGCACUGUUAGGAUUUUAUCCUGUAGUCUAAACAGAAAUGAUGUUUGAUAUCAAGAAAAAAGGCUUCCUCAAACUCCCUGAGUCUUACCCCUGCACACACAAACAAGUUGCUCUGAUUGCACGGCCUGAGACAGAGGUGCUGCAAUUCAUCUGGCUGCCUUGUCUUCAGGGUGCAUAAUACAUCUGCCUUUCUGUAGCCAGACAGGCAUAUUUCUUGCUCACCAGUUUCCCAGCCGCACAGAGAUAAACACAUUUUUCUGUCUAAAAGCUGAAAAGUAAACUGAAGGUGCCAAGAGGAGAAGCUGCAGGGUUUAGUGGCUGGACUGCAAAGUCUGGCUGCUUUUCUUAUCCUCCUUAUUGAUCGUGUGUCUUCAGUGUGUCUCUCCUGCUCUCUUCAUGUUUCCCUUACCAUUGUUCUGCUGCUCCAUCUCUGGCAUAGGCAAUUUGUCUUUCUGUGUGUGCUUGGUGCAACAGGCUGUGCUGAGCCAAGAAAAGAGUUAAAUAAGAAUAUGAGGCAUCCUAUAGAGGUGUGUUUGCUGUGAGGACUUAAUCUCCUUCCGUGCUUGUAGAUGAUGAUGCCUGCUGCUCGCAGGCAUAGUGACAAAACACAGACCUCCAACAGAAGCCAUUCCCCCAAAGGUGGGGAUGGCAAAGUGCCAGCUGUUCCCUGUGGUCUUCAGCAUGCAGAUCUGCCCUAGCCCUUGGGCCUCAAUGCUUGUCUGUGUGUGCACUUCCCCUGGUGGGUCUCUGGUGCAGGGAGUUCUCCAGGAGCCCUGUAUAAUCUAGAAAAGAGUGAUGGUGAGCAAGGUUCUCCUGGGCCUUCUCAGCCUGGGGGCCUGGCCUUGUUCUGGUGCCUGUGAUGCUUCUCCACAGUGCUACAAGCCAUCCCACUGCACUGCUCCGGCAACAAACAGGAACAAAAUUUCUCACUGUUUGCAUGCUGAUAUAUAUAUUUAUUUUUUUUUUAGUGAGAAAUUUUGUUCCUGUCGCUGCAGUUAUGGAUGAGUUAGCACUACUGCUCUCUUUUGUUCAAUUUGUUGCUGUGAUCCAUAUAUGAGCUGUAACUGUCCUCUCUUAUUGUGGGCCCUGCUUUUCAACACCCCACCUCUGGUACUCUGCCAUCAGUCCCUGUGCCCCGUGCUUCACCUCUUUUCCCCAUGCUCAAGGCAGGGACAUGCACAGCUCUGGCACAGAUGACUUGAUUUUUAAGAACAGCAAAAUGUCGCCCUGCAAAACUGCUGAACCAUCUGCAUAUAGCAGAGCAUAUGACAAGUAACCUACCGCUGUGUUUCUGGCUGUCCUGGCUCUCCCCGCUCACCCCUCAGUGCUUGCUGUGCCACAUGCGUCAGCAUAAAGAUCACGCUCUGUAGGGGUGGUGCUCAGUCUCUGUCUGGGCUAUAAAUCCCUGUGUACCAUGGAAAUGACAGGGAAUCAUCAGAUAAUCUCUCAUGAAACUAACGGUGCUUCACGAGGUCGUGCAGAUUAUAAUUUUUAUCAGUUUUGAGUUUUUGCUAUCCUAAGUAUCAUCUGCUAAUGGUCCCUUCUCUACACGGGCUGAUGAUCACCCAGUAUGCUGCUGUUUUUAUUUGAAAACUUGUAAUUUAUUGGUAUUAAAACUGCGAGGGAAGCUUGGAUUAAAAUUUCAUGUUUCUUUAUUGUACCUCUUCCUUAAAGAGGAGGGGAUGUGUAGUACAGACAUGGGUUAAACAACAACUUUGUCAGGUGGGUUGUGUUUUUCCUUUCCAAAGAAGGAUAAGAGGAUUUUCCCUCAGCAGUGCUCUCCCGUUAUAUACUCGAUAACAGACUGAAAUAGGUUUAAUAUAAUUCACUUAGCAUUGUGGGAGGAUACUUUGCCAAGUAGUGGAAACUGGCUUGUGGCAGCUUAAAAGGUCAUUGCUGUGCAAGGGUGCCCCUUCAUGCAUUAUCUGUAAGCAUGGCUUCUGAUUUAGUGUAAUUGAUUUUAAAGCCUGAUAGUUUGCCAAACUGAUUUAUAAUAUGAAUCUCUGAUGGGAUUGAAAUUUUUGAGUUGAAAUGCAAGUGGUAAAACUUCAUCAACCCAACCUGCUUUUGUUUGCAGCCUCUGCCUUCCUUAUUAUUGUGGUUAACUAAUGUUUUCCACAGGAACUGGUAGAAAUCCUUCAAGGCAACCCUGAAACAUAAAGGCACACGUGGGCAUUUUGCCUAGCACCUCCCUUGUAAGAGAAGACAAUGCAAGUCGAAGCCAAUUUAAUUAGCAACAAUGAUGGGUCUAUUUCUGAUCUCAUACAGGCAGAUCUUUUGUGUGACUUCACUGUUUCACUGUAUUUAUUCCUGGAAUACAUCCUUUUCACUGUGGUCAAAAUUAUGUCUAAUGUCCUUGUGAUACAGGAGAAUCUUCUAACUAGGAAAGUGCCUAAAAGUAGGCAGCAGUUUAAAAACAAAAACAAAACAAAACAGCAACAACAACAAAACAAUAACAAAGAACCACUAAUUUAGAGAGACUACAAUAUAAGGAAAUGGUAGAAGUGCUGCCUGUACAAUAGUUUAUAAUAAUAAACUGUUUAUAAUAAUAAACUGCAGGACAAUGCCUUUGAUUGCCUGGGUGCUUGCAGGAGAAAUCAUCUGAUUUAUCAGAAUCAAGUAAAGCUGGAAAAAAUCUUUAAUACCAGAGAGAAUAAUUUCAUUUCCACAUAGAGCAUAGAAAAGAAAAUAAUUAUCUGAUUUAUAAUAAACUGUAAUAUGCUGAUAUAUGUGUAGAAUGCAGGGUUCUGAAAUAAUUUUAUCAUGACAGAACAAUUUUUUUUUAUUUUUUUUUGGUAUGUUCAUCUCUGUGUGGGUUUGGGCUGCUGGCCAGCAGGGUGGCAAGCAUAUUUGCAUUGCUUGUGCUACUGCCUAUGAACUUUAAAGCUGAUGGUAUUCCUGAAUGUUUGUGAGACAGUGACAGGUAACUGCAAAUGAACUGGUUCACAGAGUGAGAAAACAGAGGUAAAAAAGUGGAGGGGUACCUCACAGGAUGGCUUUAACAUCAAGUGCCCUGUCUGCUCUGUUGUUCAGUUUUUCCUUCCUCUAACUACAGUAUGAGGGUUUGAAAGAUUUUCCAAAAAAUCUGUCUGUCAGUUAGGAUACUAUUUUCUCCUCCGUGUGAGUUGUUUAUUUAAUUCCAUAAAGUGUUAAGCAGCAGGAAUUUUUGUGAAUGACAACAAAAUGGUAUAAUCGAGAAAAACUUGGGUCAAUUUAUUUUAGUCAUCUUGUAUUGCUGCCCUUAUUAAUGAUGAAUGCUGCAUGACCCUCUUACUGUCGAAGCCUGAAAGUUGACCAUUUUGGGUCACUUUAGUAUGCAAAGGACUGGAUUGGCCAGAAACAGAAGUACCUUUGAAGUAUCGUUGGCAUUGAAAAUGUCUCCAGCAGUGAUCUGUUGGUCUGCUCUAAUUAGUAGACUUAAAUUCUCAUUGGUGUUUAGUGAAAAUGAUGAUAAAAGAAAUCUUUAUCUUUCAGUGUGAUAGAUGUACCUGUUGUUUUAUCCCAUGUCUCAGCAAGGGUGAGGGAAGCCUUUGGUUGCAGGCUGUUUUCAGAGGCUGAUGGUACUUGGCCUUGAGUGCCAGCACGGCAGAGAAUUCAGUCUCACAAGGACAAGUUAUGGAGAAAAGAAUUAAAAAGAAAAAAAAAAAAGCUCACUGAUAAACUGAGACACACCAUCUGUUGCAUCCAAAGUCUACCAAAAGAUUUUAAGGAGGCAUCAUCUGACUAUUGACACACUUCUACAGCUCAGGACCUGGCAGAUAAGGAAAUAGGAAAGAAAUCAAUUAUUUUAUGGGAAAUAUUCUCAAAGCAGGUGCCUAACUUGUUUCCUGCACACCAAGGUUUCCAUUUGGUUUCUUUCAUCUAAUGACAUGUCAUCUGUUAUAAGAAACUUUUGUGACAUUCAGAGCAGCCAGGUACAUUUGUUUCCAUGAAGUUAGCCUAAAAUUCUGGGUUUUAACCACUGAUUCAGAAAUGUCACAUGUAUCAAAACUGUCAUGUAAGCCUCAAACUCCCAAACUGAGAUCUUCUAGGAAAGAAAAAAAGUGUACCACACAGGCCAUCUGAUGAAGCCAGGACACACACCUCCAGCCAAGAAGACUGCACAGAUUUGAGAACAUAAGGGAAACUUCUGAUGCAGCUUGAAGAUUUGUUCUCCAAUUUGUCCUCUGAAUGGAACUGAAUGUCAGUCCUGCUGCAACAAAAAGAUUAUACAUUUGCUUCUUAGUCUGUUACUGCAGCAGAAGCACUUGAAGUUAAAGGAUGAAGUGUACUAUGUUAAUUUUGGGUUUGUCAGAAGGCACAGAGUGGAAGAUUAGAGGCAUGGAGGAAUAAGUGUACCCAUGUGGCUUCUGUUGCUCUGCCUUUGAGACCUUUUAUGUUUUACACAAUUAGAUCUGUGCCACCAAUGCACGUUCUUGUAAGAUGUUAUCAGGCCAUAAAAUAAGAUGCCUUCUGUUGUUGAGCUGAGGAAGACAAAAAUUAAAAAUCAUAUGUAUGGCAUGGCCUUUUUAACACUGACAAGCAUUAAUUGGAAGACUAAGAUGUAUCUGCAGUUUCCUAAGACUUGUAAUGACAGGACCCCAACAAGCCAAAAGAGAUUCAGAAGACCUCUGCUUCAGCUUAAUCUUCUAAACUUCACCUGCUUCUUGUCUGCAUCUGUGCAAUUUGGCAUCUGUGAAGCAUCUUCAGACUGAGAUCCACAUGGAGCUGCUUGUGGAGCUGAGAAAAACAGGCGUUUGUAAGCUGUCACAUGGCACAUAAAUGAACCAGUAGAACUCAAGGCUAGCUUGCGAUGAAGAAAUGUAAGAUUAUAUUUUUGUCACAGACUUGGCAGAUGGCUCUUUCACCUACACUGACUUCCGCCAAACUUCAGCUCAUAGACACUUGAGAAGAUGUGGAAGCUCUUUAAAGAGAUAAAUGAAAAAUUGAACUGAUUUAGCAAGGAAGAGGAAAUAAACUUGCUGUGAAAAUGGGACUAAGGAGUGAAAACACAUUCGUACUGACAAUAGUCAAUCAACAAGACUUGAAAGAGGCUGGCAAGCAUGCAUGUAGCACUGCCCCCGUGCAGCAGCUUGGAUAAAAUGAUGAGUGCAUUACCCUGAAGGAUGUCAAUUACCCUGAAGGAUGUCACACCAAAGCAAAAGCUUAAUAAUUCAGCCCCAAGACCAGCACGUGUUAUUUAGCAGUGGAGCCAGCUGUUGUGCUUUCUCAAGUUGUGACCUCAUCGGAUUUAUGAAGUAAGCUGAACUGAGCUGCUUUUAUAUUUGGCUCUGAAACCUCUUUUGAAAAUCCAAAAUAAUGCAGGAAGUAGUGAUGUGGAUUCAACAGCAAAUAUGAUUCCCCUCCAGUGUUGGACUGAUGUGAUGUUUUAGCAUGGAGUGAGGAAGCAAUGUGCUACUUGCAUGAGCUGUAUUUCAUAUAAAGUAUUAGCUCAUUUUUAUGAAAAUCCAAACAAAGCUUGCUCAAGGGAUAGGUGCACUGCAGCACUUUCAAUAUAGAGUUGCCACUGGUACACUCCAAAACAGAAAGAAAAGCAGAAACUGAACGCGUCCUCUAGGACUCGAGUGUCCCACUCCCUUACCUCUUUGUGAGUUACAGCAUGACAUUUACAGCUACUGCUCUCCACCUUUGCUCUGUAUUCAGCCUGCAAAACAAGUUCUCUGCUUCAGUGGACCCCCACCCCCCCACACACUCCCGGGUUUUCCUUGCCUGUAUCAGUCCACACAGUCAUUCUUUUAACUAUGUACUUUGAUGUGAGAGAGAAAGUAAAGGGGUCUGGCCUCUGUUACUGCUUUAUCUACUUGCAUUCCUUCCACAUUCACUUUUUUGUGCUCUUUCCUCUCCUCCAUCCCUGUUUGCUUUCCUUCCCCCAACAGUGCUGACAUCGGAGAUAAGGUAACUCUUCAUCUCAGGACCAGAGUCAAUUCUUAAAAAGCCUUAAGACUCACCUUCUGCUUCCAGUUUUACCAUGACUCCUGCACUGAAAUAAAUAAGGGUGCAUUGCUGUAUCUCUGAGCAGCCUCUAGCCACUGGCAUCAAUGUGUUCCACAUAAUUUUCUAUAUAUCCAAGAUUUAAUAAGUAGUUCAACUUUCUAGGUGAACCGUUGUUCUUCAUGAUAGCUUUUAAAUCCAUUCUGCAUAUGUCCAAUGUAGAUAGCUGCCCUUCAUAUUAGGGUGUCUUUUAUCUCACCAAAAGCAUGAGAUUUCACCAUAUGCUUUAGUCUUCUCUAGCUUAGAUAUUUGCUUGUUGUGAAAUGAGUAAAGUCUCCAACCUGUGAGAAAGGGCUGCCUAAGGAAAUGUACUCCCAGUGGCUUGUUGACUGGGUGGUGAGUCAGUCAGCAUUCACUCCUCAUGUUGCUGGUGCUCUGCCCACUCGGACAUUUGAAUCAAGUGUUUUGGGUGGGGGUCCUAAAACUGGGAGCAAUUGGAGACUCCUGGGUCGCAGUAACAAACAUUGGAGAGUCAGAAAAGAUCGAAACCCAAAGGUCUAGUGGUCUGUGAUGGUUUUACCCUGC
This is a non-coding RNA of Anas platyrhynchos (mallard), 9609 nucleotides long. NCBI's taxonomy places the organism in Eukaryota, Metazoa, Chordata, Aves, Anseriformes, Anatidae. The record is from RefSeq and is a predicted model, not a curated record.